AUUUUGAACAGAAAUUGAAAGCUAUAGAAUCAGAAAAAGAUGAUGCUUUAAAAAGAAUGAAAAAAUUUGAGGCUAAACUGAAUUCGACAGAGAAAGAAAAGAAUUCAGCUUUACAAAGAGUCAAAGAUUCUGAACAGAAAUUGAAAGCUACAGAAUCAAGAAAAGAUGCUUU
Mytilus californianus (California mussel) is the source of this 172-nucleotide long non-coding RNA. RefSeq lists it as uncharacterized. Lineage: Eukaryota; Metazoa; Mollusca; Bivalvia; Mytilida; Mytilidae. The record is from RefSeq and is a predicted model, not a curated record. The transcript is spliced from 3 exons.